RNAcentral lists this ribosomal RNA (253 nucleotides) under uncultured bacterium. Its description in RNAcentral is "partial 16S ribosomal RNA". It matches the Rfam family "Bacterial small subunit ribosomal RNA", at positions 524 to 776 of the family's 1533-position model. The record is from RNAcentral.
UACGUAGGGUGCAAGCGUUGUCCGGAAUUAUUGGGCGUAAAGAGCUUGUAGGCGGUUUGUCGCGUCUGCUGUGAAAUUUCGGGGCUCAACCCCGAACUUGCAGUGGGUACGGGCAGACUAGAGUGUGGUAGGGGAGACUGGAAUUCCCGGUGUAGCGGUGGAAUGCGUAGAUAUCAGGAGGAACACCGAUGGCGAAGGCAGGUCUCUGGGCCACUACUGACGCUGAGAAGCGAAAGCAUGGGGAGCGAACAGG